ACUUUAUAGACGAUAAUCACCGUGGGUUUGGCUUAAUUUCAGAGUAGUUUACGAGAGAGCGCUAGCUUAUCAAUUGCAAGGGCAUAUUCAGUAUCAUGGCAAAAGAAAAUGUCUCUGAUCUCGAUUUUGUUGAUGAUUUCCACUUCCCUGCGCUUUUCGAUAAUGAAGAGAACCAGGAAGACUUUACAGAAGCCAAACACGCAGAAGAGAUGCAAUUCCAGGUGGGUUGUGUGAUCAUUUCUAAGAUGAAUAAGGAUAACCCAUCAUCGGUUUUGAUGACUGGAGCACUUCCAGAGCCAAAUCACCAGGAAGAUGGUCAGCCCUCCCACAGUUUCUGCGAUAUUUGUGCGGAAAGAAAAGAAAGUAACCAAAUGUUCUCAACUGAUAAAUGUGUUCAUUCUUAUUGCUCCGAUUGUAUAAGCAAACAUGUGGCUGCAAAGAUUCAGGAAAGCAUUACAGUCGUUACUUGUCCAGGAUUGAAUUGUAAGGCUGUGCUUGAACUGGAAACUUGCAGGAUUAAGCUCAACAAGGGAGUGAUUGAUCUUUGGGAGGAUGCGCUUUGCCAGGAGCUAAUCAGCGUUUCGCAGAGAUUUUACUGCCCAUAUAAGGACUGUUCGGCCAUGUUGGUGAAUGAUAAAGAAGGACAAGAGAUUAGUGAAGCUGAGUGCCCGUUCUGCCAUAGAUUGUUUUGUGCUCGGUGUCAUGUCCCUUGGCAUUCUGGCGUUGAUUGUGAGGUGUUCCAGAAGCUUAAUGAGGACGAGAGAGGGAGAGAAGAUCUGAUGGUGAUGGAACUUGCUAGGGAUCAGAAAUGGAGCAGAUGUCCCCAAUGCAAAUUCUACGUGGAAAGAACAGAAGGUUGCCCGCAUAUGACUUGCAGGUGUGGUUUCCAGUUUUGCUAUGGAUGUGAAUCGGAGUGGACAGAAAGUCAUGGUGGUUGCUCGAGAAACUAGCUUGGCUGGAGAAAGCAUGAGUGUGGAAUGCAUUUACAACACUUUAAGGCAUAAAAGAAACUACCAGGAAGUUGCUUCUUCAAUGGGGAAAGUUGUUUUUCAAGAAAGGAGUAAAGCAGAUGGCGCUAUAUGAAUGGUUAGAAAAAAGCAAAAUGCACUAUAAGUUAUGGCAUGUUUAUAUUCAUAUAUUUAUGUAAUGCAUUUAGCUUUUCUAAUGUUUUGAGUGUUUAUGACUCAAAAGCAAAAACUGUUUGUCUACUAGUAUUUGAUGCAAUUCAUUUUACAUGUUUGCUUGAAAAACA
This 1252-nucleotide unclassified non-coding RNA is filed under the name Hevea brasiliensis (rubber tree). Lineage: Eukaryota; Viridiplantae; Streptophyta; Magnoliopsida; Malpighiales; Euphorbiaceae. The record is from RNAcentral.